AGAGUUUGAUCAUGGCUCAGAUUGAACGCUGGCGGCAUGCCUAACACAUGCAAGUCGAACGGCAACAUGGUCUAGCUUGCUAGACUGAUGGCGAGUGGCGAACGGGUGAGUAACGCGUAGGAAUAUACCUUAAAGUGGGGGACAACUUGGGGAAACUCAAGCUAAUACCGCAUAAUCUCUGAGGAGAGAAGCUGGGGACCUUCGGGCCUGGCGCUUUAAGAUUAGCCUGCGUCCGAUUAGCUAGUUGGUAGGGUAAAGGCCUACCAAGGCGACGAUCGGUAGCUGGUCUGAGAGGAUGGCCAGCCACACUGGGACUGAGACACGGCCCAGACUCCUACGGGAGGCAGCAGUGGGGAAUAUUGGACAAUGGGGGCAACCCUGAUCCAGCAAUGCCGCGUGUGUGAAGAAGGCCUGAGGGUUGUAAAGCACUUUCAGUGGGGAGGAGGAUUGUUUGGUUAAGAGCUGGGCAAUUGGACGUUACCCACAGAAGAAGCACCGGCUAACUCCGUGCCAGCAGCCGCGGUA
Molecule: ribosomal RNA, 525 nt
Filed under: uncultured Pseudomonadota bacterium
Lineage: Bacteria; Pseudomonadati; Pseudomonadota
Description: bacterial SSU rRNA
Rfam family: Bacterial small subunit ribosomal RNA
Source: RNAcentral